AAGCGUUCAUGACCAGACUUGGGCAGGUUGAUCAUCCGUGGUUCUCCGCGGUGCACUCUGCCUGCCCAGGCCAGCAUCAGUUCGCCCCGGGGGAUAAAGGUUUCGGGAAUGUAGCU
RNAcentral lists this ribosomal RNA (116 nucleotides) under Clonostachys grammicospora. RNAcentral describes it as "partial large subunit ribosomal RNA". The record is from RNAcentral. Lineage: Eukaryota; Fungi; Ascomycota; Sordariomycetes; Hypocreales; Bionectriaceae.